AGGCUGCAACUCGCCUGCAUGAAGUCGGAAUUGCUAGUAAUCGCGGAUCAGCAUGCCGCGGUGAAUACGUUCCCGGGCCUUGUACACACCGCCCGUCACACCAUGGGAGUCGGUAACACCCGAAGCCGAUAGUCUAACGAAAGAGGACGUCGUCGAAGGUGGGAUUGAUGACUGGGGUGAAGUCGUAACAAGGUAAC
Molecule: ribosomal RNA, 197 nt
Filed under: uncultured bacterium
Lineage: Bacteria
Description: partial 16S ribosomal RNA
Rfam family: Bacterial small subunit ribosomal RNA
Source: RNAcentral